UUCUUCAGGGUUGGGUGCAAUUCCCUACUGGCGGUAAUAGGUCAUCCUUAAGUCCGCGACCCGCAGAUGCAUUCUGCGGCUGAUCCGGUGUGAAUCCGGGACCAACAGUACAGUCUGGAUGAAAGAAGACG
Molecule: non-coding RNA, 131 nt
Filed under: uncultured Acetatifactor sp.
Lineage: Bacteria; Bacillati; Bacillota; Clostridia; Lachnospirales; Lachnospiraceae
Description: FMN riboswitch (RFN element)
Rfam family: FMN riboswitch aptamer (RFN element)
About the family: The RFN element is a highly conserved domain that is found frequently in the 5'-untranslated regions of prokaryotic mRNAs that encode for flavin mononucleotide (FMN) biosynthesis and transport proteins. This element is a metabolite-dependent riboswitch that directly binds FMN in the absence of proteins.
Source: RNAcentral